UACGAAGGGGGCUAGCGUUGUUCGGAAUUACUGGGCGUAAAGCGCACGUAGGCGGAUAUUUAAGUUAGGGGUGAAAUCCCAGGGCUCAACCCUGGAACUGCCUUUAAUACUGGGUAUCUCGAGUCCGAGAGAGGUGAGUGGAAUUCCGAGUGUAGAGGUGAAAUUCGUAGAUAUUCGGAGGAACACCAGUGGCGAAGGCGGCUCGCUGGCUCGGUACUGACGCUGAGGUGCGAAAGCGUGGGGAGCAAACAGG
RNAcentral lists this ribosomal RNA (253 nucleotides) under uncultured bacterium. RNAcentral's name for it is "partial 16S ribosomal RNA". It matches the Rfam family "Bacterial small subunit ribosomal RNA", at positions 524 to 776 of the family's 1533-position model. The record is from RNAcentral.